This 73-nucleotide transfer RNA is filed under the name Indotyphlus maharashtraensis. Its description in RNAcentral is "tRNA-Asn". It matches the Rfam family "tRNA". From Rfam's summary of the family: Transfer RNA (tRNA) molecules are approximately 80 nucleotides in length. Their secondary structure includes four short double-helical elements and three loops (D, anti-codon, and T loops). Further hydrogen bonds mediate the characteristic L-shaped molecular structure. tRNAs have two regions of fundamental functional importance: the anti-codon, which is responsible for specific mRNA codon recognition, and the 3' end, to which the tRNAs corresponding amino acid is attached (by aminoacyl-tRNA synthetases). tRNAs cope with the degeneracy of the genetic code in two manners: having more than one tRNA (with a specific anti-codon) for a particular amino acid; and 'wobble' base-pairing, i.e. permitting non-standard base-pairing at the 3rd anti-codon position. The record is from RNAcentral. Lineage: Eukaryota; Metazoa; Chordata; Amphibia; Gymnophiona; Indotyphlidae.
UAGAUUGAAGCUCUAUGGAAUGAGCGUUUGGCUGUUAAUUAAAAGGUUGUAGGAUAAAAGCCUACCAAUCUAA